RNAcentral lists this non-coding RNA (24 nucleotides) under Arabidopsis thaliana (thale cress). Lineage: Eukaryota; Viridiplantae; Streptophyta; Magnoliopsida; Brassicales; Brassicaceae. The record is from RNAcentral.
AGAGUGCUAUCCUUUACCUUUAGA